CCUGAGCGUCAGUCUUUGUCCAGGGGGCCGCCUUCGCCACCGGUAUUCCUCCAGAUCUCUACGCAUUUCACCGCUACACCUGGAAUUCUACCCCCCUCUACAAGACUCAAGCUUGCCAGUUUCAAAUGCAGUUCCCAGGUUGAGCCCGGGGAUUUCACAUCUGACUUAACAAACCGCCUGCGUGCGCUUUACGCCCAGUAAUUCCGAUUAACGCUUGCACCCUCCGUAUUACCGCGGCUGCUGGCACGGAGUUAGCCGGUGCUUCUUCUGCGAGUAACGUCAAUCGCUAAGGUUAUUAACCUUAACGCCUUCCUCCUCGCUGAAAGUACUUUACAACCCGAAGGCCUUCUUCAUACACGCGGCAUGGCUGCAUCAGGCUUGCGCCCAUUGUGCAAUAUUCCCCACUGCUGCCUCCCGUAGGAGUCUGGACCGUGUCUCAGUUCCAGUGUGGCUGGUCAUCCUCUCAGACCAGCUAGGGAUCGUCGCCUAGGUGAGCCAUUACCCCACCUACUAGCUAAUCCCAUCUGGGCACAUCUGAUGGCAUGAGGCCCGAAGGUCCCCCACUUUGGUCUUGCGACGUUAUGCGGUAUUAGCUACCGUUUCCAGUAGUUAUCCCCCUCCAUCAGGCAGUUUCCCAGACAUUACUCACCCGUCCGCCGCUCGUCACCCGAGAGCAAGCUCUCUGUGCUA
RNAcentral lists this ribosomal RNA (690 nucleotides) under Klebsiella planticola. Its description in RNAcentral is "Raoultella planticola partial 16S rRNA". The record is from RNAcentral. Lineage: Bacteria; Pseudomonadati; Pseudomonadota; Gammaproteobacteria; Enterobacterales; Enterobacteriaceae.